CAGUAGCCGCGGUAAUACGAAGGGGGCUAGCGUUGCUCGGAAUGACUGGGCGUAAAGGGCGCGUAGGCGGUUCGGAUAGUUAGAUGUGAAAUUCCCGGGCUUAACCUGGGGACUGCAUUGAUACUUCCGGGCUUGAGUGUGGAAGAGGGUCGUGGAAUUCCCAGUGUAGAGGUGAAAUUCGUAGAUAUUGGGAAGAACACCGGUGGCGAAGGCGGCGACCUGGUCCAUAACUGACGCUGAGGCGCGAAAGCGUGGGGAGCAAACAGGAUUAGAUACCCGAGUAGUCCCUGUCUCUUAUACA
Molecule: ribosomal RNA, 301 nt
Filed under: uncultured bacterium
Lineage: Bacteria
Description: partial 16S ribosomal RNA
Rfam family: Bacterial small subunit ribosomal RNA
Source: RNAcentral